Molecule: long non-coding RNA, 412 nt
Organism: Nylanderia fulva
Lineage: Eukaryota; Metazoa; Arthropoda; Insecta; Hymenoptera; Formicidae
Source: RefSeq, a predicted model, not a curated record
CAUUCGGUACGCAAGAUUACAACAUGAGACCGACAGUGUUGUGUCUAAUCGUGGUUAUCCUGGUCUAUGCCAUGAUCCAGGAAUCCCAGGGAGAUUCACUGAAGGGCGACUAUAAAUAUACACGCAUCUCUCGUCCCUGUACGCCACAAGAUGGUCCGUCUUGUGAUGGUUACGUAAAGUGCACUGUGCGACAUAAACGCAAGACCGUUGUCAAACUCGACGUACGAGCAAGAUUGGUCAAAACGCGAGGAAAAUAAAUAAAAUGUGUUAAAGUGUGUGCAAAAAUUUCAUUAUGAUGUACUGUAUGCUUAUAUAGUUUUGCUAAAUUAACAAGCUAAACUAACAUAUUCUGGAAUUGUAGCUUGCUAAAGAAAUAGUUUUUGGCAAUAAAAAUAUAAUCUAAUAUAUUGCA